CAGUAGCCACGGUAAUACGAAGGGGGCUAGCGUUGUUCGGAAUUACUGGGCGUAAAGCGCACGUAGGCGGACAUUUAAGUCAGGGGUGAAAUCCCGGGGCUCAACCCCGGAACUGCCUUUGAUACUGGGUGUCUAGAGUAUGGAAGAGGUGAGUGGAAUUCCGAGUGUAGAGGUGAAAUUCGUAAAUAUUCGGAGGAACACCAGUGGCGAAGGCGGCUCACUGGUCCAUUACUGACGCUGAGGUGCGAAAGCGUGGGGAGCAAACAGGAUUAGAUACCCCCGUAGUCCCUGUCUCUUAUAC
Molecule: ribosomal RNA, 301 nt
Filed under: uncultured bacterium
Lineage: Bacteria
Description: partial 16S ribosomal RNA
Rfam family: Bacterial small subunit ribosomal RNA
Source: RNAcentral